This 354-nucleotide long non-coding RNA is filed under the name Linum usitatissimum (flax). RNAcentral's name for it is "long non-coding RNA (LUSI_LNC004920)". The record is from RNAcentral. Lineage: Eukaryota; Viridiplantae; Streptophyta; Magnoliopsida; Malpighiales; Linaceae.
AGGUAUCUAAGAAUAUAGUUUACAGCAUCCAUGUGCUCACUCUUUGGUCAUUCAUGAACUGGCUAACCACACUCACAGCAAAAGCUAUGUCAGGUCGAGUGUGUGCCAGGUAUAUCAGCUUAGCUAUGUCAGGUCGAGUGUGUGCCAGGUAUAUCAGCUUUCCUACCAGCUGUUGGUAUCUUCCCUUGUCUACUUUUUCCCCGUUUUCUGCUACACUGAACUUCAUGUUCGACUGCAUUGGGGUAUCUGCUGGUUUGCACCCUGUCAUACCAGUUUCCUCUAGCAAAUCUAGGAUGUACUUUCUCUGGGAUAUAGAAAGUCCUUUGCUCGAUCUGGCCACCUCCAUUCCGAGGA